This 376-nucleotide small nucleolar RNA is filed under the name Lachancea thermotolerans CBS 6340. RNAcentral describes it as "Small nucleolar RNA snR37". It matches the Rfam family "Small nucleolar RNA snR37". Lineage: Eukaryota; Fungi; Ascomycota; Saccharomycetes; Saccharomycetales; Saccharomycetaceae. The record is from Rfam by way of RNAcentral.
AUCAUCAGUAGUGGUUAAUACUAUCUCAAGAUAAUAUUAAUUACAAUUUUUUAUAGAAACCGAAUGUUUUGAUCGUCUGUGUAUUAAAGAGCGAGGUUUGUGGCUUUCGUCUUCGGGCAAAAGUUGGGGCCUUGCUUAAGUUGAUACUGGUACUUGACGGUUAAUUCAAGCAAUAACCCAUAGCUGAAUGGGCUUUGACCACUCCCAAACAGGGUGGCCACAAAGUCCAUUUCGUUUCCGGUUUCUUAGAUUAUCUUCUGCUAUGAGGGAGCCCGGGCCUCUAGAGGCCUGGGAGUGCAUGCUAUCCAGAGGAGCGUGUAAUGCGCUCUGAGAGUUUGGGUUUACCCGUUGUGCCCUCCUUCAUGCCAGUACAUUC